CCUACGGGAGGCAGCAGUAGGGAAUCUUCCACAAUGGGCGAAAGCCUGAUGGAGCAACGCCGCGUGGGUGAAGAAGGUCUUCGGAUCGUAAAACCCUGUUGUUAGAGAAGAAAGUGCGUGAGAGUAACUGUUCACGUUUCGACGUUAUCUGACCAGGAAGCCCCGGCUAACUACGUGCCAGCAGCCGCGGUAAUACGGAGGGGGCAAGCGUUAUCCGGAUUUAUUGGGCGUAAAGGGAACGCAGGCGGUCUGUUAAGUCUGAUGUGAAAGCCCUCGGCUUAACCGGAGUAGUGCAUUGGAAACUGGGAGGCUUGAGUGCAGAAGAGGAGAGUGGAACUCCAUGUGUAGCGGUGAAAUGCGUAGAUAUAUGGAAGAACACCAGUGGCGAAAGCGGCUCUCUGGUCUGUAACUGACGCUGAGGUUCGAAAGCGUGGGUAGCAAACAGGAUUAGAUACCCUUGUAGUC
RNAcentral lists this ribosomal RNA (465 nucleotides) under uncultured bacterium. RNAcentral describes it as "partial 16S ribosomal RNA". It matches the Rfam family "Bacterial small subunit ribosomal RNA", at positions 338 to 795 of the family's 1533-position model. The record is from RNAcentral.